GAUGAACGCUGGCGGCGUGCCUAAUACAUGCAAGUCGAGCGAACAGACGAGGAGCUUGCUCCUCUGACGUUAGCGGCGGACGGGUGAGUAACACGUGGAUAACCUACCUAUAAGACUGGGAUAACUUCGGGAAACCGGAGCUAAUACCGGAUAACAUGUUGAACCGCAUGGUUCAAUAGUGAAAAACGGUCUUGCUGUCACUUAUAGAUGGAUCCGCGCCGCAUUAGCUAGUUGGUAAGGUAACGGCUUACCAAGGCAACGAUGCGUAGCCGACCUGAGAGGGUGAUCGGCCACACUGGAACUGAGACACGGUCCAGACUCCUACGGGAGGCAGCAGUAGGGAAUCUUCCGCAAUGGGCGAAAGCCUGACGGAGCAACGCCGCGUGAGUGAAGAAGGUCUUCGGAUCGUAAAACUCUGUUAUUAGGGAAGAACAAAUGUGUAAGUAACUAUGCACGUCUUGACGGUACCUAAUCAGAAAGCCACGGCUAACUACGUG
This 497-nucleotide ribosomal RNA is filed under the name uncultured bacterium. Its description in RNAcentral is "partial 16S ribosomal RNA". It matches the Rfam family "Bacterial small subunit ribosomal RNA", at positions 28 to 507 of the family's 1533-position model. The record is from RNAcentral.